ACCCGCUGAACUUAAGCAUAUCAGUAAGCGGAGGAAAAGAAACUAACGAGGAUUCCCUUAGUAACGGCGAGUGAACGGGGAAAAGCCCAGCGCUAAAUUUCGUUGCUCAAACGGGUGAUGAGAGGUGUAGCGUAUAGGAGGCGAGUUCUCCUUGAUGGCUGUCGACUUAAAUUCUCCUUGACUGGGGUUCCAGAGAAGGUGAAAGGCCUGUUCAGUCGAUGGCCACCGAGGAUUCCGCUUUCCUUGGAGUCGGGUUGUUUGGGAACGCAGCCCAAAUUGGGUGGUAAACUUCAUCUAAGGCUAAAUACGGCCACGAAACCGAUAGCAAACAAGUACCGUGAGGGAAAGUUGAAAAGUACUUUGAAGGGAGAGUUCAAGAGGACGUGAAACCGGUAGGAUGGAAACGGAUAGAGCCAAUGAACAAGCCCGUAUUCAGCUAGUCGGCUGCGUGCGGCCUAGCCAACACUCCCCGAUUGGGGGUUUGGUUGGGUGCGGUAUGCGGUUGGCUAGUGCAUUUGCGGGUGAUGUGCGCUGAGGCGUGUGAUGAAGCCCUUCGAACCGUCUUUAGAGGCCUUAGCUUCGGCUUUGAAACCUGAAGGCGGGUAGGAGUGGUUUUUGUUGCACGUA
Molecule: ribosomal RNA, 627 nt
Filed under: uncultured fungus
Lineage: Eukaryota; Fungi
Description: eukaryotic LSU rRNA
Rfam family: Eukaryotic large subunit ribosomal RNA
Source: RNAcentral